RNAcentral lists this ribosomal RNA (393 nucleotides) under Triticum aestivum (bread wheat). Its description in RNAcentral is "partial small subunit ribosomal RNA". The record is from RNAcentral. Lineage: Eukaryota; Viridiplantae; Streptophyta; Magnoliopsida; Poales; Poaceae.
AUGCAGAGCUGCGUAGCACGGAAGGAGCCAUUGUGCUGCUCUUUGCAACACCUCCGGACCAGUCUUCAGUUUUCCUAUCACUACACUAGGCAGUGGAUUAAUGGAGAACAGAUACAGCUUAGCCAUGACUCUGCGGCAAUAUAUUUAUACAACCUAAGUUUCUUCUGCUCUAGUCCUUCGAAUUGGAUACAGUUGUCAGCAGUUCUACUUCCAAGCCAACUAGCAUUUAAUAUUAUUGUCCAUUCAGCAAGCAAUAUUAAACAUGUGUCAAUUCGUACAACAUGCUCUGCAUUCCUAGAUUCAGUUAGGCGAGCUGUCAAGCUCCCCAACGCUUCACUCACCAUCAAAUAUAGCAAGUCGUAUGUAUUUAAAUUUUGGUUCUUGUGUUAUUAA